GGAGAAGUACCCAAGAGGCCGAAGGGGAGGCUUUGCUAAAGCUUUAGGCUGGGCAACUGGCGCGAGGGUUCAUAUCCCUCCUUCUCCGCCA
Molecule: transfer RNA, 91 nt
Filed under: Clostridiales bacterium
Lineage: Bacteria; Bacillati; Bacillota; Clostridia; Eubacteriales
Description: tRNA-Ser
Rfam family: tRNA
About the family: Transfer RNA (tRNA) molecules are approximately 80 nucleotides in length.
Source: RNAcentral